Long non-coding RNA from Oncorhynchus tshawytscha (Chinook salmon), 1523 nucleotides. NCBI's taxonomy places the organism in Eukaryota, Metazoa, Chordata, Actinopteri, Salmoniformes, Salmonidae. The record is from Ensembl.
UUGGCUAUAUCGUAAAAGAUCAUGAAAACAAAAGUUAGCUUUUUGGUCUUGAUUUAAGGUUAUGGUUAGGCAUUAGGUUAGCAGUGUGGUUAAGGUAAGGGAUUGUGUUAGGCUUAAAUCCGAUUUUAAGAUAAACUUGGGUUUAUGACUUUGGCUGUGGUAACUAGUGGCGACCCUAGGCUACAGUUGACAGGGCACCGAUUGUCACCUUCCUCUGUUCUUCACUCUUCAGUGAUGCGCGUGGAGGAGUCUGUGCGGCUCGGAUAGGUCCAGUCUUCGCUGGUAUGUGCUGUCUGGCACUGGUCAAGUAGCCAUUGACUUUGGACUGUGACCCUGAACCUGUACUCCUGAGGUUCUCCAGGAUGGUAGGGUGAGGGGCUGACAUGAUGGAACAUGAUUGAGGAGGCACAAUAUCAGAUGUCACUUUUCCAUUUGGAGAGGGGAUGUCUGGCUGAGGAAGAAGUAGUAUCUCUGUGUCUGAUGAGGGAGAGGAGGCUUUCUAUAUGCCUGAAAGGAGACCCUCCCUGGACCUGGGCAAUGGCCUGAGACCCAUGUACACGGCGCAUGUCACGUGUCCACAGUAAUGUUUCCUGUUUGAUGAUCCUUUCAUCAUCCAUCCUCAAUCAUUGAUAUUUGGUGUGUGUUUAGUAGGCAUGAAAAGGAAAAGGGCUCGAUCAUUGUCCAUGUGAUGUUCUAUGUACAGAGUCCAGCAGCAAAGAACAGAGUCGUACUCCAGCUGCUACUCUGUGGACAGUUGACUGUGAGAUCAAAUCAAAUUUUAUUUGUCACAUACACAUGGUUAGCAGAUGUUAAUGCGAGUGUAGCGAAAUGCUUGUAACCAGAAACAGGAAGUAAGAACAGUCCUCCAUGUUUGAUCAGUCACAGACAGGAUGCAAACUAUGUUUAAGUGUGUUUUUAUGGUGUAAUUAUGUAUAUGUUUAUGUGAGUAUUUGUUGCUGGGUUUAGUGGGAAUAUAAUGUGGAUGUAUGUCCAUUUGUUUACAAAAUGGUCAUAUCUAUGUUUAGGCUCAUGCACCAGUAUGUGUAGUAGUUUCAUCUCCCACUACCUCUCUAGGUCUCAAAGUUUCUUGCAGUGGAACUUCCUCCAAGACCAGAGCUGAUCAAAAACCCAGAUGAGAAGAGGCACCCUGCCCUGACUGUAGACUUCACCUUCAAGGCCACCAGGAAGACACUGGGGAAGGAAGUUUAAGAUCAUGCUGUGGAAGCGUUACCCAGAGUUGUUGUUCAGUGCUCCUCCCCAGGGCAUGGACAUGGUGACUUGUUGGACAGGCUGCUGGAGUAUUAUGACCUAGGGGUGGCCCUGCAGCUCACCAAGGCCCUGUCGGAGGACAUGGGCCUCAAGCGCCUGGCUGACUUCCCCAGGGACAUUUGCAAAAGAAGUAUGCACAUCUUCUUUAUUUUAUUUGAUGAAUGUAAUAUACACUGAGCAAAAAUAUCAACGCAACAUGUACAGUGUUGGUGUCAUGUUUCAUAAGCUGAAAUAAAAGAUCCCAGAAAUGUUCC